RNAcentral lists this long non-coding RNA (6683 nucleotides) under Hordeum vulgare. RNAcentral's name for it is "long non-coding RNA (HVUL_LNC016741)". Lineage: Eukaryota; Viridiplantae; Streptophyta; Magnoliopsida; Poales; Poaceae. The record is from RNAcentral.
AUUUAUAGGAAUUUUUGGCGGUGGAAUUGCGUCAGUUGGGCCCACGAGGAGGUCACAAGCCUGCGUGCCACCACCGGGGGGUGGCGGAGUGAGGGCUUGGGACUCCCUCGUGGCCCAUCUGGCCUUCUCCCAAAGCUUCGGGGGUCUCUUUUGGUCCCAAAAAAAUCAUCGUAAAGUUUCAUUCCAUUUGGACUCUGUCUGAAAAUGGGCCAAAAACACGAAAAAAAAUAGAAACUCGCACUUGGCACUGAGUUAAUAGGUUAGUCCCAAAAAAGAUAUAAAAUCAAAAAUUAUAGAUACGUUGGAGACGUAUCAAGCAUCCCCAAGCUUAACUCCUGCUCGUCUUCGAGUAGGGAAGUGAUAAAGAAUGAAUUUUUGAUGUUGCAUGCUACCUAGCAUAGUUGUCCUUUGUAACUUCUCCACGUGACAUGAAUGUUCAGAUCCGUUAGAUUCAAAACAAUAGUUUGCUAUUGACGUGGAAACAAUAAUAAUUCAAGCAAACUAGCAACGUAAUCAUGAACUUUCAAAAUAACAAGGCCAAAAGAAAGUUGUCCCUACAAAAUCAUAUAGUAUGGCUAUGCUCUAUCAUCAUUGCACAACGAAUUUAAAUCAUGCACAACCCCGGUAUUGGCCAAGUAAUUGUUUCACACCUUUACUUUCUCAAACCUUUUCAACUCUCACGCAAUACAAGAGCGUGAGCCAUGGUUUUAGCACUAUAAGUGGUGUGGAGUGUGGUGGAGGUUGCAAGACAAAAAAGGAGAAGAUGAUCACAUUAACUAGGCAUAUCAAUAAGCUGUGGAGAUGCUCAUCAAUAGAUAUCAAUGUGAAUGAGUAGGGAUUGCCAUACAAAUGAUGCACUAGAGCUAGGAGUAUGUGAAAGCUCUUAAAGAAAACUAGUGGGUGUGCAUCCAACUUGCUUGCUCACGAAGACCUAAGGCAAUUUUGAGGAAGCCCAUCAUAGGAAUAUACAAGCCAAGUUAUAUAAUGAAAAUUUCCCACUAGCUAUAUGGUGGUGACAAAAACGAGAGACUCUCAAUCAUGAAGAACAUGGUGCUUAAUAUGCACAAGUGUGGAAAGGUGGUAGCAUUGUCCCUUCUCUCUUUUUCUCUCAUAUUUUUUGGGUGGGCUCUUUGGCCUCUAUUUUUUCGUGGGCAUCUUUGGCCUCUUUUAAUUCCUCACAUGGGACAAUGCUCCAUCAAUGAUGAUCAUCGCACUUUCAACUCAACACUUAGAGCAACGAUGACUCUAUAUGGAAUGCCUUCGGUAGUGUACCGUGACAAUGAUCUAGCAUGGCAUAGACAUUAAUGGAAACAUCAUGCUAGCUAUCUUACGAUCAUGCAAUGGCAAUGUAGACGUGGUGGCACAUGUCAUGGUGGUAGUUGCAUGGCAAUAUAUCUCGGAAUGACUUUGAAAAAGCCAUAGUAGGUAGGUAUGGUGGCUGUUUUGAGGGAGGCUAAUGGUGGGUUUUGUGCACCGUCGAAAGUUGCACGACACUAAAAAGAUAGUGAUGGUGGGAGGUGAAAGUGCAUCUAUUCCAUGGACUCAACAUUAGUCAUGAAUAAAUCAUAUACUUGUUGCAAAAGUUUUAUUAGUAAUCAAAACAAAGCAUUCAACGCAUACUCCUAGGGGAAGGGUUGGUAGGUAUAAACCAUCACGCGAUCCCGACCGCCACGCAAAGGAUGACAAUCAAAAGACUAAUGAUGCUCAGAUUUCAUCACAUAGCGCUUCACCAUGCAUGCAUGCUAUGGGAAUCACUAACUUCAACACAAGUAUUUCUAGAUCCACAACACCUUACUAGCAUGACUUCAAUAUUACCAAAACCACAACUCAAAACUAAUUGAGAUGAAUCAAACUUCUCUAACUAUUCAAUGCACAUGAAGGUGGAAGUUUUCGUAUCCCUUUGGAUAACUACCCCUUUUGAGACUACUUUAAAAUCAUAGAUCAACUACCAAGCCACGCACCACUGCGCUCUAAAAGAUAUAAGUGAAGGACAUAGAGCAAAAGUAUUUAGCUCAAAAGAUAUAAGUGAAGCACAUGUGAGCUGAAUUGUCUACCAAAAGAUAUAAGUGAAGCUCGACAAAAUCACGGUGAGUGCAUGUCUCUCUCUCUAGGUGUGCAACAAGGAAGAUUGUGACACAACAAAAAUAAAAGACUCCUACAAUACAAGACGCUCCAAGCAAAACACAUAUCAUGUGGUGAAUAAAAAUAUAGCCCCAAGUAACGUUAACGAUGGAUUGAAGACGAGAGAGGGGAUGCCUUCCCGGGGCAUCCCCAAGCUUAGGCUUUUACGGCAUCCUUGAAUCUCUUGGGGUGCCUUGGGAAUCCGCAAGCUUGAGAUCUUGCCACUCUUUAUCUCUUUGUCCAUAAGAACUUCAGCCAAAACUUGAAAACUUCACAACACGAAACUUAAACAGAAACUCGUGAUAACAUUAGUAUGAGAAAGCAAACCACCACUUCCUUAGGUACUGUAGCAAACUUAAAUUCUACUUAUGCUGAUGUUGGGUUACUGUAUUUUCAAUCUUCCAUGGCUAAUACCCUCCGAUACUAUCCAUAGUUUCAUCAAAAUAAGCAACCAACAUAACAAAAACAGAAUCUGUUAAUAGCAGACCAGUCUAUAGCAAUCUGUAUAUUUCGUAUACCUCUGGUACUUCAAAAAUUCUGAAAAAUUACGACAGUCUGAAUAAAUUGCAUAGAAAUCAGCAGCAAAAAUAAUCAACUCAAAAUCUCUUACAUAAAAAAAUGAAAGUUCUUUUCGUGAGCAGAAAGUUUCUGUCUUUCCCAGCAUGACCAAACGAUCAUCCCCAAGACUAAUCAUAACGGUUUUGCUUGGCACAAACGCAAAAAUAAACACAAAAGACACAAUCAUAAUAGAAUUAUGAUGGUGUGGAGAAAACCAAACAGGAAGCAAAAAAGCAAAGAAAAAUUUAUUCAUUGGGUUGCCUCCCAACAAGAGCUAUCGUUUAACACCCUUAGCUAGGCAUUGAUUUCAAUGAUGCUCACAUAAAAGGUAAGGAUUGAAACACAACAAGAGCAUCAUGGAGCAAAUGGCUAGCACAUUUAAGUCUAACCCACUUCAUAUGCAUAGGGAUUUUGUGAUCAAACAAUUUAUUGGAGCAAGAAUCAACUAGCAUAGGAAGGCAAAACAAGCAUAGCUUCCAAAAUUUCAACAUAUGGAGAGGAAGCUUGAUACUAUUGCAAUAAGUAGAAGAAUGUGAUCCUCUCUCAUAGUAAUUUUCGGUAGCAUCAUGAAUGAAUUCAACAAUAUAACCACCACCUAAAGCAUUCUUUUCAUGAUCUACAAGCAUAGAAAUUUUACUACUCUCCACAUAAGGAAAUCUAUUCUCAAGAGUAGUAGUGGGAGUAUCGUAAAAGACUUGAGCACUACAAAUUGUAUCCACAAUGAAAAAGCAAGGUUUAGCAAAAGGGUUCUCGAGAGUAUGACAAGUUUUAUCAUCCCUCUUCUUUAAAGCAUAAGUAUCCUCACAAUAAUCAUCAUAGAUAGGGGACAUGCUUUCAUCAAAAUAAUUUUGAUCAUUCAAAGUGGAAGAACUAAAAAGAUCAUCUUCGUCAAAUAUAGCAUCCCCAAGCUUGUGGCUUUGCAUAUCAUUAGCAUCAUGGGUAUUCAAAGAGUUCAUGCUAAUAACAUUGCAAUCAUGCUCAUCAUUCACGUAUUCUAUGCCAAGCAUUCUAUGUAAUUCUUCUUUCGGCACUUGAGCACAAUUUUCCUCCCCAUCAUGCUCACGAAAGACACUGAAAAGAUGGAGCAUAUGAGGCAUCCUCAAUUCCUUUUUUUGUAGUUUUCUAGCGAAAGAACAAGAAACAAAAAAGAUUCGAUUGCAAGAUCUAAAGAUAUACCUUCAAGCGCUAACCUCCCCGGCAACAGCGCCAAAAAGAGCUUGAUGUCUACUACGCAACCUUCUCCUUGUAGACAUUGUUGGGCCUCCAAGUGCAGAGGGUUGUAGGACAGUAGCAAUUUUCCCUCAAGUGGGUGACCUAAGGUUUAUCAAUCCGCGCGAGGCGUAGGAUGAAGAUGGUCUCUCUCAAGCAACCCUGCAACCAAAUAACAAAGAGUCUCUUGUGUCCCCAACACACCUAAUACAAUGGUAAGUUGUAUAGGUGCAUUAGUUCGGCGAAGAGAUGGUGAUACAAGUGCAAUAAGGAUGGUAGAUAUAGGUUUUUGUAAUCUGAAAUUACAAAAACAGCAAGGUAACAAAUGGUAAAAGUGAGCACGAACGGUGUUGCAAUGCGUGGAAACAAGGCCUAGGAUUCAUACUUUCACUAGUGAAGUUCUCUCAACAAUGAUAACAUAAUUGGAUCAUAUAACUAGCCCUCAACAUGUAACAAAGAGUCACUCCAAAGUCACUAAUAGCAGGGAACAAACGAAGAGAUUAUUGUCGGGUACGAAACCACCACAAAGUUAUUCUUUCUGAUCGAUCUAUUCAAGAGUCUGUAGUAAAAUAACACGAAGCUAUUCUUUCCGUUCGAUCCAUCAUAGAGUUCGUACUAGAAUAACACCUUAAGAUACAUAUCAACCAAGACCCUAAUGUCACCUAGAUACUCCAUUGUCACCUCAAGUAUCCGUGGGCAUGAUUAUACAAUAUCCAUCACAUAAUCUCAGAACAUGUAUUCAACCAACACAUAGAACUUCAAAGAGUGCCCCAAAAUUUCUACCAGAGAGUCAAACGUGUGCCAACCCGUGUGCAUAGGUUCCCAAUGUCACGAACCCGCAAGUUGAUCACCAAAACAUACAUCAAGUACUCACAUGAAUCCAACGUGUGCCAACCCAUAAGCAUAGGUUCCCAAUGUCACAAACCCGCAAGUUGAUCACAACAGAUAGACACGUGCAAGACAUACAUCAAGUGUCCUCAAAGUCUCAAUCCGAUAAGAUAACUCCAAAGGGGAAACUCAAUUCAUUACAAGAGGGAGAGGGGGAAGAAUAUCAUAAAAUCCAACUAUAGUAGCAAAGCCCAUGGUACAUCGAGAUCAAGACAUCUCAAGAACACAAGAGAGAGAUCAAACACAUAGCUACUAGUACAUACCCUCAGCCCCGAGGGAGAACUACUCCCUCCUCGUCAUGGAGAUCGCCGAGAUGAUGAAGAUGGCCACCGGAGAUGGAUUCCCCCUCCGGCAGGGUGCCAGAACAGGCUCCAGAUUGGUUUUUGGUGGCUACAGACGCUUGCGGCGGCGGAACUCCCGAUCUAGGUUUCUUUCUUGGGGUUUCUGAAUUUAUAGGAUUUUUUUGUGGUGGAAUUGCGUUAGUUGGGCCCACGAGGAGGUCACAAGCCUGUGCGCCACCACCGGGGGGGUGGUGGCGGAGUGAGGGCUUGUGACUCCCUCGUGGCCCAUAUGGCCUUCUCCCAAAGCUUCGGGGGUCUCUUUUGGUCCAAAAAAAUCAUCGUAAAGUUUCAUUCCAUUUGGACUUCGUCUGAAAAUGGGCCAAAAACACGAAAAAAACAGAAACUGGCACUUGGCACUGAGUUAAUAGGUUAGUCCCAAAAAAGAUAUAAAAUAUCGUAUUCAUGCAUAUAAAACAUCCAAAGUUGACAAGAUAAUAGCAUGGAACCAUAAAAAAUUAUAGAUACGUUGGAGACGUAUCACUAGGCAGCUGCUAUUUUGGAGUUGAUGCUCUAAGCUCACUCACACACACAUACUUAUCCCUCAGACCAAGAUCAAGGCUACUAGUCAGCCCAGCACUGGAGCAUCGGGAAGGCCGAUGCACAAUGUGUAGGUCAAGCUAUAGGAGGAGUAUUUGCUGAAGAAGGAGAUAGUUGGACCCUGAGAUCAAGGUAAUAUCCAUCUCCUAAGGAUCUUGUGGCUCAAACCUACGCUAAUAUUAUCCUGGUGGAUCCAACAACGGCAUCAAAGGCACUAGCAUCAAGUUUGAGCCCUAUCUAGCUCAAAUUCAUGUUUGGCUUAUUAUGAUUAAGUUGAAGAUCAAGUAGCCCUUCCAGUUCUUGCUUGAUCCAUUAAGUUUAUGGUUAGAUUCAUGUUGUUCCUCAUGUUCAAGCAUGGCUUGAAUUUAUUUAAGACCUUUAAGGAACAUAUCAGUAUUGAUUUGUUGUACUUAAGUUGUGUUUAUGGUAUAUAUCAAGCAGUUAUUCUUGUCCAUGCUUGAUCUAAUUAUUUAGCCCUAAAGUAAUUAAAGUUCUAGCCCUAACAGAUCAAGUGAGUAUCAAGGGUCUCAUUUAAUGAUGAUUCAAAGUGGGGAAUAAUGCAUUUACUCAAAAUCCCCAAAUCCCGAAAUCCUAAAUUACGAAAUCCCCAAAAAAAUUAUGAACCCUAGCCCAAAAUCUAACGAACUAUAGGCUAUGUGUGCUCACUUGAAGGGUUUUCGUUGUCAUAUGCAUGUUGUGGCGACACCGGGUCCACCAAUUGAUGCCGCUCACCGUCGCUACUGUGCAGGGAUGCAUGCGCGCGCGGCUCUGGUGCGGGAACGCGGCAAGCACCGCUCGACGGGGCCUCGCGCGGACUGGAGCCGCACGGGACUCCGGCGAAAGGAGCUCACCGGCGUCAGCGCCCUCCUCUCUUGCGGUUGGUGACGCCGCCGCGUCGCUCUCUCGUCCUCGCGAUGUGGGAGCAGAAGGGGAGGGAGGCUAAUGGGGAUAAGGUUAGGGGAUGCUGGGCUUCGUGGUUGGCUUUCGGCCAAGCCAGCGCCAGCCGGGCCGGCAAGCCGUCUCGGCCCA